CGCCCUUAGAGUUUGAUCCUGGCUCAAGAUGACCGCUAGCGACAGGCUUAACACAUGCAAGUCGAGGGGCAGCACAGGUAGCAAUACCGGGUGGCGACCGGCGCACGGGUGAGUAACGCGUAUGCAACUUACCUAUCAGAGGGGGAUAACCCGGCGAAAGUCGGACUAAUACCGCAUGAAGCAGGCGCCCCGCAUGGGGAUAUUUGCUAAAGAUUCAUCGCUGAUAGAUAGGCAUGCGUUCCAUUAGGCAGUUGGCGGGGUAACGGCCCACCAAACCGACGAUGGAUAGGGGUUCUGAGAGGAAGGUCCCCCACAUUGGUACUGAGACACGGACCAAACUCCUACGGGAGGCAGCAGUGAGGAAUAUUGGUCAAUGGCCGAGAGGCUGAACCAGCCAAGUCGCGUGAGGGAUGAAGGUUCUAUGGAUCGUAAACCUCUUUUAUAAGGGAAUAAAGUGCGGGACGUGUCCCGUUUUGUAUGUACCUUAUGAAUAAGGAUCGGCUAACUCCGUGCCAGCAGCCGCGGUAAUACGGAGGAUCCGAGCGUUAUCCGGAUUUAUUGGGUUUAAAGGGUGCGUAGGCGGCCUUUUAAGUCAGCGGUGAAAGUCUGUGGCUCAACCAUAGAAUUGCCGUUGAAACUGGGGGGCUUGAGUAUGUUUGAGGCAGGCGGAAUGCGUGGUGUAGCGGUGAAAUGCAUAGAUAUCACGCAGAACCCCGAUUGCGAAGGCAGCCUGCCAAGCCAUGACUGACGCUGAUGCACGAAAGCGUGGGGAUCAAACAGGAUUAGAUACCCUGGUAGUCCACGCAGUAA
RNAcentral lists this ribosomal RNA (810 nucleotides) under uncultured bacterium. RNAcentral describes it as "bacterial SSU rRNA". It matches the Rfam family "Bacterial small subunit ribosomal RNA", at positions 1 to 805 of the family's 1533-position model. The record is from RNAcentral.